This 250-nucleotide ribosomal RNA is filed under the name uncultured bacterium. Its description in RNAcentral is "partial 16S ribosomal RNA". It matches the Rfam family "Bacterial small subunit ribosomal RNA", at positions 8 to 247 of the family's 1533-position model. The record is from RNAcentral.
AGAGUUUGAUCCUGGCUUAGGAUGAACGCUAGCGACAGGCCUAACACAUGCAAGUCGAGGGGCAGCGGAGAGGUAGCAAUACCUUUGCCGGCGACCGGCGCACGGGUGAGUAACACGUAUGCAAUCCACCUGUAACAGGGGGAUAACCCGGAGAAAUCCGGACUAAUACCCCAUAAUAUGGGCGCUCCGCAUGGAGAGCCCAUUAAAGAGAGCAAUUUUGGUUACAGACGAGCAUGCGCUCCAUUAGCCG